RNAcentral lists this ribosomal RNA (253 nucleotides) under uncultured bacterium. RNAcentral's name for it is "partial 16S ribosomal RNA". It matches the Rfam family "Bacterial small subunit ribosomal RNA", at positions 524 to 776 of the family's 1533-position model. The record is from RNAcentral.
UACGUAGGGUGCAAGCGUUAAUCGGAAUUACUGGGCGUAAAGCGUGCGCAGGCGGUUAUGUAAGACAGAUGUGAAAUGCCCGGGCUUAACCUGGGAACUGCAUUUGUGACUGCAUGGCUAGAGUUUGGCAGAGGGGGGUAGAAUUCCACGUGUAGCAGUGAAAUGCGUAGAUAUGUGGAGGAACACCGAUGGCGAAGGCAGCCCCCUGGGUCAAGACUGACGCUCAUGUGCGACAGCGUGGGGAGCAAACAGG